CCUACGGGAGGCAGCAGUGGGGAAUUUUGGACAAUGGGCGCAAGCCUGAUCCAGCAAUGCCGCGUGCAGGAUGAAGGCCUUCGGGUUGUAAACUGCUUUUGUACGGAGCGAAACGGUCUGCUUUAAUACAGUGGGCUAAUGACGGUACCGUAAGAAUAAGCACCGGCUAACUACGUGCCAGCAGCCGCGGUAAUACGUAGGGUGCAAGCGUUAAUCGGAAUUACUGGGCGUAAAGCGUGCGCAGGCGGUUAUAUAAGACAGAUGUGAAAUCCCCGGGCUCAACCUGGGACCUGCAUUUGUGACUGUAUAGCUAGAGUACGGUAGAGGGGGAUGGAAUUCCGCGUGUAGCAGUGAAAUGCGUAGAUAUGCGGAGGAACACCGAUGGCGAAGGCAAUCCCCUGGACCUGUACUGACGCUCAUGCACGAAAGCGUGGGGAGCAAACAGGAUUAGAUACCCUGGUAGUCCACGCCCUAAACGAUGUCAACUGGUUGUUGGGUCUUCACUGACUCAGUAACGAAGCUAACGCGUGAAGUUGACCGCCUGGGGAGUACGGCCGCAAGGUUGAAACUCGAAAGGAUUAGACGGCGUGAGAGAGCGACGACGACGACGAGGGAGGAGG
RNAcentral lists this ribosomal RNA (620 nucleotides) under uncultured bacterium. RNAcentral's name for it is "bacterial SSU rRNA". It matches the Rfam family "Bacterial small subunit ribosomal RNA", at positions 338 to 951 of the family's 1533-position model. The record is from RNAcentral.